AGUGAACCAUACAAAAAAUUAUAAGAUGUUAUUUGGAGUUCAACCCAAUGGGGUAUUUAGCUAAAGAAGGGUUCUAGUGCAAAGUAUGCCAACCCAAUAUUUUAUUGGAGUUUAAACUAAUUUAUGAAACAAAGGUUUCAUAAUAUAUUUCAAAACCUCUUUUAUGUAUUACUUAUAAAGACCUAAUGACAUUAUAUAAGCAAAAGUAUUUUUAUUUAUUUUAUUUUGAAAAGAUUCAAGUCCCAAAAGCUCACACUUUGGAGGAUUUAAAUUUACAAAUUUUCUGUAGUUUAUUUGGACUUAUUUGGAGUUAGGAAUCAAAAGUUAUUAAUAAAAACAGAAAAUGAAAAAAAAAUGAAAAAAAAAAGAGAAUAGACAGACGCAACAGGGCCGGCCCAUCUUCACCGAGCAGCCCAGCGAGCACAAGCUCGUGCUCGUGUUUUUGCUCCUCUGCACGUAUAAAGGAAACCCCUUCUUUCAUAUUUUCUUCAUUCGAUUUCUUUCCUUCCCGCGUGUCUCUCUUCGAAAGAAAAUCACCCCAUCAAUCAUCACCAUCCUAGGAACCGAUUCAGGCAAUCAAUUUGAUGUUUCCUCUCAUAAUCGCCGUUUCCAAAAGAGGCGCCCCGAAUGCCGCCCGUCAACAUCCAUGCCCGAUCUCCCUCCUCGGCCAGUAUAAAAGAAUUCCACGCGCGUCAGUUCGAGCCUUUGCCUCUCCUCUUCCAUUCCCAUGUAGAAAGUUUGGCCUCAAAAUCUCUGUACAGCUGGCUACGUCGACGUCUUUCUCCGCCCGUCGCCUCCGCCAUUGUUGCCGGUGAGCUCUCCCCGAAGGUCCGUUUUUAAAUUCCUUUCACCGGUGCACUCACG
This 864-nucleotide long non-coding RNA is filed under the name Brachypodium distachyon (stiff brome). RNAcentral's name for it is "long non-coding RNA (BDIS_LNC004323)". The record is from RNAcentral. Lineage: Eukaryota; Viridiplantae; Streptophyta; Magnoliopsida; Poales; Poaceae.